Long non-coding RNA from Pan paniscus (pygmy chimpanzee), 1539 nucleotides. The record is from Ensembl. NCBI's taxonomy places the organism in Eukaryota, Metazoa, Chordata, Mammalia, Primates, Hominidae.
AUGAAUACAAGGAAAAGGUCCAGGCCUCCUCCCCGAAGCUACGCCCUGCAGGGAGCGCUGCUGUUGGCAGGCUGGGGAGCAGCCAUUUGGAAUUGUUCUCCAGGGCCCACAAGGAGAGAGGAGCACCCCACGCAGGCGAAUCGCCUCUUGUUUUGUCUGCAGAGCCAAGAGAGGCUGAAGUUGGCUGCAGGACAGUCUUCAGCGUCCGAGGAUGGGGCGGCCGGUCAGGCAGACCUGCCCCGCAGGAUGUUCCCGGGAGCAAGCAGUGAGCCCGCCCGCGCCCACGCUCCCUGCCCGGGCGCCCAGCGUGGAGGCUCCCCCGGUCUCCCCACACGGCCGGGGCCUCGCGCCAGCCCCAGCGCAGCCCCUCACCAGCUCCCAGAAACCGGUGAGAAGCAGCCCAUAGCUUGUUACCUGUUUAUCCAAAGGACAGAUCAGUGCUCAAGAAAGCAAUGCCGGCUCCAGGGAGCCAGUACAGCCCAGUCUGCACAACUCCCGGAAGAGAAUUAAUCCAGGAAUGUUCCCUGAGUGCCUGCUAACGAUGCUACCCUGUGAAAAUACGCCUUGAACCCAGCAGACCCUGGGUAAAUAGUUGUUGGUUUGCUCAAGUUUGCAUCCAGCAAGAGCCACCUCGGAGGCUCCCUGCUGCGGAAAGCCACCAUCCUGUCCUCCCCGUACCAGUCGGAUGUCAGGCUCAACACGCAGCCAGUGAAACCGGGUUCUGAGGAGCCAGGCACCCCUCCUUUCUCCCUCUUUCUGCUAUGUGCCAAUGGCCUCUGGAUUGCAUUAAGCCGCAUAAAUAACAGGGCUGUUGUCAGAUAUCCCCUGGUGAGGAAAGGGCAGAUGGGGAAGCCAGUGGGUCACGACCUUCAUGUUUCUCAGCGGGGGUCAAAACGCCUUCCACGCUGGGCGAGGGGAGAGGAGGUCUGUGUUAUGCUUGCACUGGGCCCUGACAGGCGAAUAUAAUUCCUGCGCGGCUGCAGGGAACGCUGGGAUUUGUUUUACAGCCUGGCGUGGCUCACUCUGUUCAACUAACAUCUGGUGGGAAAUGGAAAAGUCCCAUGCUGGACCUUCCAGGCUGGGAUGACUGGUGGAUUUUGGCAGCAGCCUACCCUUGGAAUGGGGCUUCGUUUCUUCUCUGUGCCUUGGUUUCUCCGGCAGUGAAAGAGGGGUGUGGGUGGUCCCCGAGUCCUACUGACGGGAGGGAUCCGUGCACUGGAGCCCGCACAGCUCAAGGGGCUGCCACGCAGUAAGUGCUCGAUUGUUGAGUGGAUGAUAACGGUCCCCGCCCCUUGAUACCAAAGACAGAGGGGCUCUACUUUCUGAAGCCGCUGAGCUCAGGGGCCUGGCUUUGGGAGGGCGUGGAGGACAGGCACCCGCAAGACUGGAUGUAAAAUGCAACGUUCAGAGCUUAUAUUUCAGACUUCCCAUCCUAACCCCAAUCUGCUUCUGCAGACAGAGGAGACAAACUCUGACCCUCACUUUGAAGUCGUUGCUUUCCCUGUCCUUGCUGGUCACGUCUAGCAGUUUUUGAGUGCC